RNAcentral lists this ribosomal RNA (467 nucleotides) under uncultured bacterium. RNAcentral's name for it is "partial 16S ribosomal RNA". It matches the Rfam family "Bacterial small subunit ribosomal RNA", at positions 29 to 507 of the family's 1533-position model. The record is from RNAcentral.
ACGAACGCUGGCGGCGUGCUUAACACAUGCAAGUCGCACGGAAAGGCCCUGCUUUUGUGGGGUGCUCGAGUGUCGAACGGGUGAGUAACACGUGAGUAACCUGCCCUUGACUUUGGGAUAACUUCAGGAAACUGGGGCUAAUACCGGAUAGGAGCUCCUGCUGCAUGGUGGGGGUUGGAAAGUUUCGGCGGUUGGGGAUGGACUCGCGGCUUAUCAGCUUGUUGGUGGGGUAGUGGCUUACCAAGGCUUUGACGGGUAGCCGGCCUGAGAGGGUGACCGGCCACAUUGGGACUGAGAUACGGCCCAGACUCCUACGGGAGGCAGCAGUGGGGAAUAUUGCACAAUGGGCGGAAGCCUGAUGCAGCAACGCCGCGUGCGGGAUGACGGCCUUCGGGUUGUAAACCGCUUUCGCCUGUGACGAAGCGUGAGUGACGGUAAUGGGUAAAGAAGCACCGGCUAACUACGUG